ACGCUGGCGGCGUGCCUAAUACAUGCAAGUAGAACGCUGAAGGAGGAGCUUGCUUCUCCGGAUGAGUUGCGAACGGGUGAGUAACGCGUAGGUAACCUGCCUGGUAGCGGGGGAUAACUAUUGGAAACGAUAGCUAAUACCGCAUAAGAGUAGAUGUUGCAUGACAUUUGCUUAAAAGGUGCAAUUGCAUCACUACCAGAUGGACCUGCGUUGUAUUAGCUAAUUGGUGGGGUAACGGCUCACCAAGGCGACGAUACAUAGCCGACCUGAGAGGGUGAUCGGCCACACUGGGACUGAGACACGGCCCAGACUCCUACGGGAGGCAGCAGUAGGGAAUCUUCGGCAAUGGACGGAAGUCUGACCGAGCAACGCCGCGUGAGUGAAGAAGGUUUUCGGAUCGUAAAGCUCUGUUGUAAGAGAAGAACGAGUGUGAGAGUGGAAAGUUCACACUGUGACGGUAUCUUACCAGAAAGGGACGGCUAACUACGUGCCAGCAGCCGCGGUAAUACGUAGGUCCCGAGCGUUGUCCGGAUUUAUUGGGCGUAAAGCGAGCGCAGGCGGUUAGAUAAGUCUGAAGUUAAAGGCUGUGGCUUAACCAUAGUACGCUUUGGAAACUGUUUAACUUGAGUGUAAGAGGGGAGAGUGGAAUUCCAUGUGUAGCGGUGAAAUGCGUAGAUAAAUGGAGGAACACCGGUGGCGAAAGCGGCUCUCUGGCUUGUAACUGACGCUGAGGCUCGAAAGCGUGAGGAGCAAACAGGAUUAGAUACCCUGGUAGUCCACGCCGUAAACGAUGAGUGCUAGGUGUUAGACCCUUUCCGGGGUUUAGUGCCGCAGCUAACGCAUUAAGCGCUCCGCCUGGGGAGUACGACCGCAAGGUUGAAACUCAAAGGAAUUGACGGGGGCCC
RNAcentral lists this ribosomal RNA (905 nucleotides) under uncultured bacterium. RNAcentral's name for it is "bacterial SSU rRNA". It matches the Rfam family "Bacterial small subunit ribosomal RNA", at positions 33 to 922 of the family's 1533-position model. The record is from RNAcentral.